This is a non-coding RNA of Tinamus guttatus (white-throated tinamou), 381 nucleotides long. Lineage: Eukaryota; Metazoa; Chordata; Aves; Tinamiformes; Tinamidae. The record is from RefSeq and is a predicted model, not a curated record.
CUUUUGUCUUAUGUUCUUAAGGAAAUGAAAGAACUCACAAAUUGUAUGAGACAAAAUGACAGUUUUAAGAUCAACUUUUAUUGAAAAAUUAAAACUGCAUUGCAUAUCUUCUUUAUAAUUUUGACAUUUCUUUAACCACAAAACAGACAUUCUAUUAAAAAAAUCUCAUCAUAGUUUUCACCAUUCAAAUAACAGAUUAUGAACUGAACAAAUGAUGACUUUAAAAUUCCAGGUUAUUCUCAAGGCCCCUGGUUCUGUCCGUCUACCAUGAACACUAGAAUCCAACUAUGUUCUCCAGAAAAAGGACCUUUAGUAGUUUGGUCAGAAUUUUUGUCAUUCAAAAAUCAGCAGCUGCUGUUGAUUUUUAUUCAAUGAUCAGUC